RNAcentral lists this ribosomal RNA (374 nucleotides) under uncultured organism. Its description in RNAcentral is "bacterial SSU rRNA". It matches the Rfam family "Bacterial small subunit ribosomal RNA", at positions 526 to 896 of the family's 1533-position model. The record is from RNAcentral.
CGGGGGGAGCAAGCGUUGUUCGGAUUUACUGGGCGUAAAGGGCGCGUAGGCGGCCACCGCAAGUCGACUGUGAAAUCUCCGGGCUUAACCCGGAAAGGUCAGCCGAUACUGCGGGGCUAGAGUGCAGAAGGGGCAACUGGAAUUCUCGGUGUAGCGGUGAAAUGCGUAGAUAUCGAGAGGAACACCUGCGGCGAAGGCGGGUUGCUGGGCUGACACUGACGCUGAGGCGCGAAAGCUAGGGGAGCGAACGGGAUUAGAUACCCCGGUAGUCCUAGCCUUAAACGAUGAGUGCUUGGUGUCUGGGGUUUUAUAGUCCCCGGGUGCCGUCGCUAACGCUUUAAGCAUUCCGCCUGGGGAGUACGGUCGCAAGACUG